Molecule: ribosomal RNA, 260 nt
Filed under: uncultured bacterium
Lineage: Bacteria
Description: partial 16S ribosomal RNA
Rfam family: Bacterial small subunit ribosomal RNA
Source: RNAcentral
GACGGAGGUGGCUAGCGUUGUUCGGAAUCACUGGGCGUAAAGGGCGCGUAGGCGGCCUUGCAAGUCGGUUGGUGAAAGCCCGGGGCUACAACCCCGGGAGGUGCGGCCCGAGACUGCAGGCGUGGAGGCCGGAAGAGGAGGGUGGAAUACCCAGUGUAGAGGUGAAAUUCGGUAGAUAUUGGGUGGAACACCGGUGGCGAAAGCGGCUCUCUGGUCCGGAACCUGGACGCUGGAGGCGCGAAAGCGUGGGGAGCAAACAG